UAUAGAUGAGUGUAAUCUGUAAUAUAAUUGGUGUUAUGUGGUUCUUUUGCAUGGAGUUGUAAUUUGAGUGUACUGAAUUUUCUUUGUUAAUACAGAUUUGAUCUUUUCGUUUUCUUACCUUCUUUAAUGCGUUGAGAAUUUCUGGGCUAAGUAUGUGAGGUUUCUAAUACAGCCCAAUGUUCCAAGCAAUCAUGGAGCGAAUUCACCAGAAAAAACUAAAUCUUUUCGCUUGUUAAUUAGUGGAACACAAAUGUAAGAAAAUUGAACUUAUCACCUUCUUCGUAUACAAUUUUAUUGUCAUAAUGCUUUCAGACUUUAUGGAAAUAAAUUUUAUUGAUGAA
Molecule: long non-coding RNA, 341 nt
Filed under: Manihot esculenta (cassava)
Lineage: Eukaryota; Viridiplantae; Streptophyta; Magnoliopsida; Malpighiales; Euphorbiaceae
Description: long non-coding RNA (MESC_LNC008549)
Source: RNAcentral